ACGGAAGGCAGCAGUGGGGGAUAUUGCACAAUGGGCGAAAGCCUGAUGCAGCAACGCCGCGUGAGGGAAGAAGGUCUUCGGAUUGUAAACCUUUGUCCUUAGUGAAGAUAAUGACGGUAGCUAAGGAGGAAGCCACGGCUAACUACGUGCCAGCAGCCGCGGUAAUACGUAGGUGGCAAGCGUUGUCCGGAAUUACUGGGUGUAGAGGGAGCGCAGGCGGGAAGUCAAGUCAGACGUGAAAACUAUGGGCUUAACCCAUAACGUGCGUUUGAAACUGAUUUUCUUGAGUGAAGUAGAGGCAGGCGGAAUUCCGAGUGUAGCGGUGAAAUGCGUAGAUAUUCGGAGGAACACCAGUGGCGAAGGCGGCCUGCUGGGCUUUUACUGACGCUGAGGCUCGAAAGUGUGGGGAGCAAACAGGAUUAGAUACCCUGGUA
Molecule: ribosomal RNA, 434 nt
Filed under: uncultured Clostridium sp.
Lineage: Bacteria; Bacillati; Bacillota; Clostridia; Eubacteriales; Clostridiaceae
Description: partial 16S ribosomal RNA
Rfam family: Bacterial small subunit ribosomal RNA
Source: RNAcentral